UAAUAACAACCUCGUGUAAGGCGUUUCCUAUUAUAAUUCACUCUCCUUAUCUUUCUGUCUAUCUGUCUGUCUCUCUUUCUCUUGGGUUUGAAUUUUUUUCCUCUUCCUCUUCUUUUUCUUCUUCUCUGUCACCAAACCCUAAUUUCCUCCCAAUUCCGAUCUCAAAAUCUCUCUCCUUAACCUGAUUAUAUUACCCCCCGAAGCUUUCAGAUCUCCCUCCCUGCUAGCCAGGAGGAGCAAAGAUGUCUUUUGUACGGAAUUUCAGUUUGCAAGGAGGCGUUGCCAAUGAUGACUAUUGGUCCUCCUUCACUAGGAACAACUUUAUCAACAACAAUAGGAGCAAGACUAGGAACAAUUAUAACAAUAGGAAUUUUAGCAAUAACAAAGACUACUCGGGGAAAUUUUGGCAGCAAAAUGAAAACUUUCAUCAUAUGAAAACUGGCAAUUCCCAUUAUGUCAACCCUGAUAAUUACACUCAUGUUAAUCCUAACGGCGCAAGUGCACCGUCUUUGAAAAGAAGAAAAUUUUCAGCCUCUACUUGGGGAGGUAGUGGGAGACACUAUGUGCAGUCUAUCGCAUAUGACCAAGCCCCUUUAACCUGUAACAACACUUUCCCUCCUAUUCGAUCUAAUGUGGAGGCCUCUAUGGCUACCGGCUGUAAACGUGAUCGUUCACAUUUAGAAGAUGAAGAACCAGUAUUCUUGUCACGGGAUGAGAUUGAAAGGUGCUCCCCGUCAAGGAAAGAUGGUAUUGAUGCACUUCGUGAAGCACAUUUGCGUUACUCGUAUUGCACCUUCCUUCAAAAUCUUGGAUUGCACCUAGAGUUGCCACAAACCACUAUUGGCACUGCCAUGGUUCUAUGCCACCGUUUUUUUGUUCGGCAAUCACAUGCUUCCCAUGAUAGAUUUUUGAUUGCUACUGCUGCUCUAUUUCUUGCUUCAAAGUCUGAGGAGACCCCACGCCCUUUGAACAAUGUAGUGAGAGCUUCUUGUGAAAUUUUCCAUAAGCAGGAUAUUUCUUUCUUGUCCUAUCUGCUCCCCACUGACUGGUUUGAGCAAUAUCGGGAGCGGGUGAUUGAGGCUGAGCAUGUGAUACUGAGUACUCUAAAUUUUGAGCUUAAUGUGCAGCAUCCAUAUGCUCCUCUUACAUCCAUUCUUAACAAAUUUGGUCUUUCAAAAUCUGUUUUGGUCAGUCUGGCAUUAAACUUGGUCAGUGAAGGGUAAGUUGUCACUUCCAAAAUUGUUACUGUUUUUUCAAUUGGAUGUUGUUACUGGUGCAAUAUGUUUGGGUUAGCUGUUUGUUUCAUUUAGCACACCUAGCUAGCUCAUGUUGUACUUCUCCUGAUGAUGUGCACCUUGAACCUUUUGAGUUAAUUUAUGCCUUAAUUCUGACCAUGUACCUUUCGUUUGUUGUUUGGGCCUGUAUAUUGUAAUAAUUUUGUCUUUGCAAAGUAGUUCAGCUGAAAAUAUAGUAUAGGAAGCAGGAUUUGGACAGUGAUUUUUAGAAGCAGCUCAGCCAAAUUGCAGAUUUGUUGGGUUCUGGAGGUCGUUCUGAGGAGAUGGCUACACUGGGUCUACACAAGAUUAGCGUGCUCGCAUGUAUGAUAUUCUUACCUGGCGGAUUGAUAUGCUGUUCAUGGAAAGUUUUGUUUUACAUCUGAAGUUGAACUGCCAGUGUGGUGUUGAUGACUUCAUCACAAAUACACCCCCAUCAACUUGGUCAUUGGCUAUUAAAGAUAGCCUCAGGACCUCUGACUUAUAAAUUAAAAAAAAUAAUAAUAAUAUAAAGAUAGCCUCAGGACCUGCAAAAUCAGAUUUGCCAUGCUAGAUUGACACUCAAUUGUUUUCCCUCCCAACUGUCUGUGGUAUCCAUGUGAAGCUAGUCCUCUAGAUUUCUUAUGCAAACAUAUGACUUUUGACACAUGGCAACCUAUCCACUCGCCGUCCAUUUACUGACUUGGAGGUGUACCAUUGGCUAGGCAGAUAGUAAUUUCUUUUUCUUUGUUGCCUAUGAUUUUUAUUACUACCUGGUGAGGGGUAUUGUGAGGUAGCUGACAAUACCUGACAACCUGAGGUAUUGUCAGGUGACUCAGGUAGCUUAUUAAAUAAAAGGGGGCAUUGUCAGGUAGCUGGGGAGAUUAUUGGGUUUAGCAGAUGUUUUGCCAAGUUUUUCUGACCACCAAGAUUUGUUAUUAUUUUUUUGAACUACUUUUAUCUGACAAGUUCAACUCAUGUAUUUUUUUUUUAACUUCAAAUACUUAAAUGAUUUUUUCUUAGUAUCCAGGAACUUUGGUUUGAUUUCAGUUUCAACCAAGUGUUAAAUUACAAAUCUUGCCCCAGGAGUUGCUGCUUAAUGUAAAGUGUCACAUCUGACGUAUAGUAAAAGCAUUGUGUGGCUGUGUAGGUCAGACUUUCAUCUUAUUAUCUAAAUUCUCUUUCCCAGUAAAAUAAAAAAAUAAAAACUAUAAAAUGCUUUAGUACCUCUCAUCUUGGAUGGAUAGGUGCUGAAAGAUUAGUCAAUGCUAUAGAUGUGAAAUGCAAAAAUUGGAAGGAGAACAGCAAAGUUUAUUGACAUUAGGUCCAAAUCUAUUAUGUAGCAAGCGUUUCCCCCCAGAGUCUUUCUUAUUUUUCAGUGUUUAUGGCUUGGAUGCAAGUGGUUGGUCAGCAAGUAAUGUCAGCCCAGUUAAAUUGGACCACCUUUUACGGUUGCAGUAAUCUAUUGAUGUUUGACAGGUGCAGCUGGGUCAGUGACUUCUAGAGUAGAUUAGUUAGGACUUAGGAAGUAUAAGUUCUUUUGUACUUGAUCUACUUUGUCUCUGUAAAUUAUAUGUAAAUUAUAUCCAUGAAGUUGUGUUUUAGGUCUGAUGUCUUGAGAUUAAUGGGAAACCAGGGGAGGGUUUAUAUGUUCAGUCUUUACCAACAUAUCUAAAGAAUAGUUUAUAUCCUAGAAGUCAUCAAAUUUAUACACAAUUCUAGUUUCAAUAACUCAGUAAUUGAAGAGUUUCCACCUAGCCAUUUCAAUAUUACCUUAAACAAAUAAUAAUAAUAAUAAUAAAGGGAAAAAGGAAAAAAGAAAAAGAAAAUGGGAGGAAAGUUGGAGAAUGUGGAUGGAAUUUCUCUUCCUGCAUCUCGAGACAAGGUGAGAGAAUUGAAUAUUAUAACAUGUUUAAUAUCUAUAUCUUUUCCUUGUCCUUCUCUUUCUCUUCUUCUCAUUUUGUUGUGUUGUAAAAAAAAAUAACUGUGGCUAAGAGCCUUACGGGUCAGUGGCACUGCCCAAUCUCCCUUAGGGGGAGAAUCUGGGAGUUAUUUUCCCUUCUUUUCUUCACUAAUAUUUUAUUACUUACUAAAACACAAGUAUGUUGAUAGCUGUUGUUGUUGCUUGAGUCCUUGACUAAGUUUUCAUGACCUUCUUGCUUAUACCUCAUCCAUUGAUUAUGAUGAGUCAAUUUUUAAUAAUUUUCACUCUUGCCUUUUUCAAUUAUAUUACAGACCACAUAAACCUUGUGACAUAAGUCCCUCUAAUUAUCCUUACCCACCUUGCUCACUUGGACUUUUGGGGCUGAUCUCAUGUUUAUGAAUUUUGGUACUAGUAUGUAUACCAUUCACACUGGAUACACCCCUCCUCCACUCCCCCCAUCCCAACCCAACAAAUGAGGGUCUUCAUGACCAUGUUCUCUCAACCUUUAUAUUCAUAUAUCAUUGAAGAAUAUUUAAGAAAUAGGGUACAUGAGUCCUUUCAUGUUAUUUGCUACUUUGCCUUUAAAAUAUACUUUCCAAAUUAUUGUGGAACUGUUAUAAUCCUUUUUGACCAUUAUGUCAUAAUCACUUCUGUACAUUUAUUUUUGUUGUUGUCGUCAUUGUCGUCAUCCUCAUCAUCAUUUACUUUUCUAUUACUUCUUUUUAUUCUAAUGCUACAAUUCUUUAUUAGGAAUCUUUUUUCUCUAAAUAACCUUAAUGAACUUUUUAAGUUGUUUAUAUGGAAGUAGGUGGAGAAUAUUUUUUGGGAUAUAUUCAGUAACAUGAUCUAUUGUUGCCUUCCCUUUGAUAUUUUGGAUCCGAAAAUAUGUUUUCCAAAUGUUAUUAUUAUUAUCAUUAGUUUCAUCUAUAAAUUUUUUUUAUUAUUAUCAUUAUUUCUAUCUCUGUUUACUUCGCUAUAACUGUUUCUUUUUCUACAAGUACAUGCUUUAUGGGGAAUCUAUUUUCUAUAAAUAACUUGAUGAACUUUUGAAGUUGUUAAUACUGGGGAAAAAAAUGAAGAAUAUAUUUUGGGAUAUAUUAAGUACAUAACUUUUUGCGUUCUCUUUGAUAUUUUGGAUCCCAAAAUAUGUUUUCCAAAUAUUCUCACCUAAUUUUCUAAUAAUUUCAAUUAUUGACACUACUGUUGUGAUUGUUAUUGUUGUUAUCAUCAUAAUCAUCGUCAUCAUUAUCAUUAUCAUUAUCAUUGUCAUUAUCAUCAUCAUCAUCAUCAUCAUCAUUAUUAUCAUUAGGGUUACUAUUGCCACAAUGGCACAUGCUCAUCUUCUUCCUUUUAAAAGAUUACAAUUUUAAGGUUGAAUGUUAUAAUAUUUACUUAUAUAUAUAUAUAUAUAUAUACACUUUCUCAAAAUGAAAAGCCACAGUUUUAUAUUAUUUCUUAGUGAAUAUAGUUUUAAAAUAAUUUUCUUAUUGGUAAUUAUACAUCGACCUUCACCCUUCAGCUUGCUCUUAUAAGUAGGGUAGUAAAUGAACUGAGCAAUUCAGGAACAACUCAAGUUUGAUUCGAUAAAAUGCUUUUUAUGUAUAUUUGUUUAUAAAUAAGCUGAGUUGGAGCGAAGUUUUGAGGUUUGCUUAAUAAAUAAGCCGAACUUAAAAAAAAAAAAAAAAAAAAAAAAAAAAAAAAAAAAGAAGAAGAAGAAGAAGAAGUUUUGUUAAUGAAUAAGCUCACAAGUAAGGGUUUAAGAAUAAUCAAGUCUUGCUGAGUGUAGGCUCAACUCUAGCUUUUUAAUAAGGCUUGAUAUGGUCUUAACAACUCAGGCUUGAUGCAAUAAAAAGCUUUUUAUGUUUUUUUAUUUAUAAAUAAGCCAAGUUGGAGUGUAGUUUUGAGGUUUGCUUAAUAAACAAGCCAAACUCAAAAUAAAUGUUUUGUUCAUGAAUAAGCUCAUGAGUAAGAGUUUAAGAAUAAACAAAUCUUGCCGGGUGUAAACUCAACUCUGGCAUUUUAACAAGGCUUGAUAUGGCCUUGAGAACCCAAGCACAUGGCUUGGAUCGACUAAUCUACAACCCUAUAAAUAUGUGGAAAUUACUAUUUUCUCAACUUGAUUUUUUUUUUCAUAAAAAUAUGAACAUAGCAUGUUUGCUGGAUUAAGCUUGAGCUUGAUUUGAGCCUGUGCUUGGCUUGAUGGUUUGACUAAUGAGGCAAGUUAAGCUUAAGCUACUUGAAUUUUUAAUGAACUUGAUUUUCAACAUUCUAAGCAAGUUUGAGAUAAGCUCAAAUUGAGCUUGAACAUCAUAUUAAUCUUGUCAAACUGAGUAUAAAUAUUGAAGGACCCUUUUUGGGUCUGCCCCUAGUCAUGUCUAGCUGUUCUUUAUGUAAGUUUCAUUGUAUACAUAGAUGCAUUAGACCUGAUGUAAUUUAUUUUUUUUAUGGACAUUUUAAAAUUUGGUUGCUGAGGUUUCUUUCAUGUUUCCAACAUGGUGAUAUAUAUAUGAAGAGGGAUAAAUACUUGCCCAAGAAAAAAAGUAGUACAAAGAAACCUCACUACUUACAAGUAACAAGUUUGUAUUAAAAGUUGCUGUCAUAACCCACUUGAAUGGAACUUUUGUGAAGGCUGCCUUUUUAAAUAAAUAAAUAAAUAAUUCUCUACUCCUAUGUUACAAAAACUUCUAUAGUUAUGUGCAAAAGCAACUCUAAUCAAGAACCAUGCUGUUGCAUGUAGCACAGCAUGAUUUUCAUUUUUUUUUAAAGGUUAUCAACAAGCCUGGCAAUACUCUAUGCUAUCUAUUGUGGUUACAAAUUACUUUAAGAUGAGAACUAUUUAUAUAUAAAAGAAGAAAAGAAAAGGGAAAAAAAAAAAAAAAAAAACCAAAGAAGUUGCAUAGAAGUUGUGCCUAAUGUUUUGUCUUCACUAUGAUAUAAAUGAUGCUUCUAGCUUUAUCUCCUACCAAGCAAUAUUGCUUCCAAUAGAGGAUCUUGGGCAGUACUCUAUAGUUGGGAUUAUAUGCAUGCUCUAUUAGCAUGAAAGCAUGUGUUUCAACCAGCCUAUUCAGAAGCAGAAGACAUUGGCAUGUGCCUUGAGAGGUUUGAUUGCUAUUGGCAGUUACUUCUUAUUUGCUUUCUCAUUUGAAUUGCAUGUCUCUGGAGUUUAAAGCCCCUGCAGCAGAAUUUUUCCUGGGAGUUUGGUGUGUUAUCUAGAUGAGUGUAACUUGUUUGCUAUAGUUUUGGUACUCUAUCAGCAAUCUGCAGAGAUUCUUGGAAAAUAUUCUACCUGCUGCAUUUUUAGUUGGUAAGGAAAAGAUGACUUGCUCUCUCCACUUGAAACCAAUGGUUAAUAAAUAUCUUAUUUCUUUUGGAUUUUGCUAUUGGUAACUGUUGUACCAUUGUAGCUGACAUAGUUUUUGUCAAUGUGGAAAUGUAUGUUAAGUUGUACGAGGCAAUGAAUGUUCUUUUUUUGUGUUGCCCCAGAUGGUUGGUUUGACUAUUCAUGAAUCUCUCUAUCUGUGCUGAUUAAUGGUGCUGCUUGCUUUUAUAUCCCCUUAUAAAGGUGUUAAAUGUUUUGUUUUGUAGGCUUCGAAGCUCACUGUGGCUUCAAUUUAAACCUCAUCAUAUUGCUGCUGGAGCUGCCUACCUUGCUGCUAAAUUUCUAAAUUUGGACCUUUCUUCUCAUCAAAAUAUAUGGCAGGAGUUCCAAACAACACCAGCAAUUGUUCAAGAUGUAUCACAGCAGUUGAUGGAGCUCUUCUGACUUCUGAGAAGGGCUAGCAGAACAUGACUAUAGUCCAUAGCAAGCUGCAUGAUGAUGGUACUCUCUAGGGUUUGUGGGUAAAUAUGCUUGUGGGUUGGGAGAUGUGAGUUAUGAAAUAAUGAUAACAACAAUCAUAAGUAUAGAAGAUCGAUGGAAUGUCAGAGAGAUGAUCCAUAUGCUAGCAGGACAGGUGGUGGUACUAGACCCAAUUAGAUGGGUUGGACAAGUGGGUGGUCCCUUUCUUUCCCAGGAUCCCUGAAAAAUAUUUUCUUUCUUUUUCCCCUAAUGUUUCAUUGUAAAUUUUAAGGCUGUUUAUUUCCUCCUGUUAUAGUUAAUUAUACAAGACCAAAAAGAGAAAUGGCAAGAGAGUUCCACGUAAA
RNA transcript from Quercus lobata, 7320 nucleotides. It is a transcript of the gene named cyclin-T1-4-like, with no coding region annotated. The record is from RefSeq and is a predicted model, not a curated record. The transcript has 7 exons. Lineage: Eukaryota; Viridiplantae; Streptophyta; Magnoliopsida; Fagales; Fagaceae.